AGAGUUUGAUCAUGGCUCAGGACGAACGCUGGCGGCGUGCCUAAUACAUGCAAGUCGAGCGGACUUGAUGGAGUGCUUGCACUCCUGAUGGUUAGCGGCGGACGGGUGAGUAACACGUAGGUAACCUGCCUGUAAGACUGGGAUAACUAGCGGAAACGUUAGCUAAUACCGGAUAAUUUAUUUUCUCGCAUGGGGAGAUA
Molecule: ribosomal RNA, 200 nt
Filed under: uncultured bacterium
Lineage: Bacteria
Description: partial 16S ribosomal RNA
Rfam family: Bacterial small subunit ribosomal RNA
Source: RNAcentral